GACGAACGCUGGCGGCGUGCUUAACACAUGCAAGUCGAACGGAAAGGCCCCUCCGGGGGUGCUCGAGUGGCGAACGGGUGAGUAACACGUGGGUGAUCUGCCCUGCACUUCGGGAUAAGCCUGGGAAACUGGGUCUAAUACCGGAUAGGACUACGCACUGCAUGGUGUGUGGUGGAAAGCUUUUGCGGUGUGGGAUGGGCCCGCGGCCUAUCAGCUUGUUGGUGGGGUGAUGGCCUACCAAGGCGUCGACGGGUAGCCGGCCUGAGAGGGUGUCCGGCCACACUGGGACUGAGAUACGGCCCAGACUCCUACGGGAGGCAGCAGUGGGGAAUAUUGCACAAUGGGCGCAAGCCUGAUGCAGCGACGCCGCGUGGGGGAUGACGGCCUUCGGGUUGUAAACCUCUUUCAGCAGGGACGAAGCGCAAGUGACGGUACCUGUAGAAGAAGGACCGGCCAACUACGUGCCAGCAGCCGCGGUAAUACGUAGGGUCCGAGCGUUGUCCGGAAUUACUGGGCGUAAAGAGCUCGUAGGUGGUUUGUCGCGUUGUUCGUGAAAACUCACAGCUUAACUGUGGGCGUGCGGGCGAUACGGGCAGACUUGAGUACUGCAGGGGAGACUGGAAUUCCUGGUGUAGCGGUGGAAUGCGCAGAUAUCAGGAGGAACACCGGUGGCGAAGGCGGGUCUCUGGGCAGUAACUGACGCUGAGGAGCGAAAGCGUGGGGAGCGAACAGGAUUAGAUACCCUGGUAGUCCACGCCGUAAACGGUGGGUACUA
This 775-nucleotide ribosomal RNA is filed under the name uncultured Actinomycetes bacterium. RNAcentral describes it as "bacterial SSU rRNA". It matches the Rfam family "Bacterial small subunit ribosomal RNA", at positions 28 to 818 of the family's 1533-position model. Lineage: Bacteria; Bacillati; Actinomycetota; Actinomycetes. The record is from RNAcentral.